AUUGCAUGCACAGUCUAUCUUCAUUCAUUGUAUCAGAUAGAGACAGUCAGUUUACAGUUAAGAACAUUCUUCAAAAGUUCUACAACUACAUAUAAGAUAACUGAAGCAAUCUGCUGCUGCAUGCUGAGAUUGCUAUAAACAGCUGAGAUUCUGCUAUAAUAGAUAAACCACAUACAUUCACAGUUCUGUACAGACAGCAGAGAAUAUAGUCAGCAAGCUCAAGAAAGCUCACAAAUGAGCUGAAGCUUUGAUGAUCAGUACUCAAUAAAACUAUAAGAAUCAAAUGAACAUCAGAAGAAGUUCUGCAAUCUGUUACAGUAUAGAAGACAAAGUCUGAUUAGAUCUCAAGAAUAUAAGAAUAAACCACUCCUCAC
This 374-nucleotide small RNA is filed under the name Histoplasma capsulatum. Its description in RNAcentral is "hypothetical RNA". Lineage: Eukaryota; Fungi; Ascomycota; Eurotiomycetes; Onygenales; Ajellomycetaceae. The record is from RNAcentral. RNAcentral also lists the same sequence under 1 other name.